CACAAUCUGCCUUUAUCUGGGGACUAGCCCGAAGAAAUUCGGAUUAAUACCCCAUAACAUAUUUGGGUGGCAUCAUUUGAAUAUUAAAACUCCGGUGGAUAAAGAUGAGUGUGCGUCCCAUUAGCUAGUUGGCAGGGUAACGGCCUACCAAGGCGACGAUGGGUAGCUGGUGUGAGAGCACGACCAGCCACACGGGCACUGAGACACGGGCCCGACUCCUACGGGAGGCAGCAGUGAGGAAUAUUGGUCAAUGGACGCAAGUCUGAACCAGCCAUGCCGCGUGAAGGACGAAGGCCUUCUGGGUUGUAAACUUCUUUUAUUGGGGAAGAAAAUUACGGUUUCUACUGUAACCGACGGUACCCAAGGAAUCAGCACCGGCUAACUCCGUGCCAGCAGCCGCGGUAAUACGGAGGGUGCAAGCGUUAUCCGGAUUCACUGGGUUUAAAGGGUGUGUAGGCGGGUG
RNAcentral lists this ribosomal RNA (463 nucleotides) under uncultured Chitinophaga sp. RNAcentral describes it as "bacterial SSU rRNA". It matches the Rfam family "Bacterial small subunit ribosomal RNA", at positions 120 to 581 of the family's 1533-position model. The record is from RNAcentral. Lineage: Bacteria; Pseudomonadati; Bacteroidota; Chitinophagia; Chitinophagales; Chitinophagaceae.